CCCCUUCGUCGUGACUGCGUACCUUUUGUAUAAUGGGUCAGCGACUUAUAUUCUGUAGCAAGGUUAACCGUAUAGGGGAGCCGGAGGGAAACCGAGUCUUAACCGGGCGUUAAGUUGCAGGGUAUAGACCCGAAACCCGGUGAUCUAGCCAUGGGCAGGUUGAAGGUUGGGUAACACUAACUGGAGGACCGAACCGACUAAUGUUGAAAAA
Molecule: ribosomal RNA, 211 nt
Filed under: Salmonella enterica subsp. enterica serovar Derby
Lineage: Bacteria; Pseudomonadati; Pseudomonadota; Gammaproteobacteria; Enterobacterales; Enterobacteriaceae
Description: partial 23S ribosomal RNA
Rfam family: Bacterial large subunit ribosomal RNA
Source: RNAcentral